UACGUAGGGUGCGAGCGUUAAUCGGAAUUACUGGGCGUAAAGCGUGCGCAGGCGGGCUUUUAAGCCAGACGUGAAAUCCCCGGGCUUAACCUGGGAAUGGCAUUUGGGACUGCAAGGCUUGAGUGCGGCAGAGGAGACUGGAAUUCCCGGUGUAGCAGUGAAAUGCGUAGAUAUCGGGAGGAAUACCGAUGGCGAAGGCAGGUCUCUGGGCUGACACUGACGCUCAUGCACGAAAGCGUGGGGAGCAAACAGG
Molecule: ribosomal RNA, 253 nt
Filed under: uncultured bacterium
Lineage: Bacteria
Description: partial 16S ribosomal RNA
Rfam family: Bacterial small subunit ribosomal RNA
Source: RNAcentral